RNAcentral lists this non-coding RNA (29 nucleotides) under Mus musculus (house mouse). Lineage: Eukaryota; Metazoa; Chordata; Mammalia; Rodentia; Muridae. The record is from RNAcentral.
UUGGAUUGCUCUCUGACAUGCCAAUCCCA